RNAcentral lists this ribosomal RNA (292 nucleotides) under uncultured bacterium. Its description in RNAcentral is "partial 16S ribosomal RNA". It matches the Rfam family "Bacterial small subunit ribosomal RNA", at positions 775 to 1067 of the family's 1533-position model. The record is from RNAcentral.
GGAUUAGAUACCCUGGUAGUCCACGCCGUAAACGAUGUCUACUAGCAGCUCGCCUCGUUAGAGGGGUUUUGCGCAGCUAACGCAUUAAGUAGACCGCCUGGGGAGUACGGCCGCAAGGUUAAAACUCAAAUGAAUUGACGGGGGCCCGCACAAGCGGUGGAGCAUGUGGUUUAAUUCGAUGCAACGCGAAGAACCUUACCAUCCCUUGACAUCCAGAGAACUUACUAGAGAUAGUUUGGUGCCUUCGGGAACUCUGAGACAGGUGCUGCAUGGCUGUCGUCAGCUCGUGCCG